UCUCCUGGGAAACGGGUGGUAAUGCCGGAUGCUCCAGUUGAUCGCAUGGUCUUCUGGGAAAGCUUUCGCGGUAUGGGAUGGGGUCGCGUCCUAUCAGCUUGACGGCGGGGUAACGGCCCACCGUGGCUUCGACGGGUAGCCGGCCUGAGAGGGCGACCGGCCACAUUGGGACUGAGAUACGGCCCAGACUCCUACGGGAGGCAGCAGUGGGGAAUAUUGCACAAUGGGCGCAAGCCUGAUGCAGCGACGCCGCGUGAGGGAUGGAGGCCUUCGGGUUGUAAACCUCUUUUAUCGGGGAGCAAGCGAGAGUGAGUUUACCCGUUGAAUAAGCACCGGCUAACUACGUGCCAGCAGCCGCGGUAAUACGUAGGGUGCAAGCGUUAUCCGGAAUUAUUGGGCGUAAAGGGCUCGUAGGCGGUUCGUCGCGUCCGGUGUGAAAGUCCAUCGCUUAACGGUGGAUCCGCGCCGGGUACGGGCGGGCUUGAGUGCGGUAGGGGAGACUGGAAUUCCCGGUGUAACGGUGGAAUGUGUAGAUAUCGAAAAAAAAACACCC
RNAcentral lists this ribosomal RNA (553 nucleotides) under Bifidobacterium longum. RNAcentral describes it as "bacterial SSU rRNA". It matches the Rfam family "Bacterial small subunit ribosomal RNA", at positions 146 to 711 of the family's 1533-position model. The record is from RNAcentral. Lineage: Bacteria; Bacillati; Actinomycetota; Actinomycetes; Bifidobacteriales; Bifidobacteriaceae.